Ananas comosus (pineapple) is the source of this 1896-nucleotide long non-coding RNA. RefSeq lists it as uncharacterized. The record is from RefSeq and is a predicted model, not a curated record. NCBI's taxonomy places the organism in Eukaryota, Viridiplantae, Streptophyta, Magnoliopsida, Poales, Bromeliaceae. The transcript has 2 exons.
UAUUUAUUUUCUUUAGCAACAAAAUAUGCCAAUUAUUUAUUAUGUAUUUUUAUCAAAUCUUUGAACUUUGUUGAGAAAAUUACCUUCUAAUUUUAAGAAUAGAGGGUUUUAAGUUGUACCAUUGGCAUGAGGGUUGUAUCGUGCCGAUAUCCUACUGGCACGAUAAGGUACGGUGGAUUCGGCCCAUGCCGAUGGGCACUUUAAUCCUUGGUUUAAAUGUAUUAUAGGUCGAAAUAUUUGUAGCCCUUUGAAAUACUGUGAUUUGCACCAUAUCUCCUUUGAUAGUCGAAACCAAGAAUUUAAAUGCUGUGGUACUAGGUUGUGCCGAACACUUGCCAAGGCGUUGCGUGUUGUGCUGUGCCAAUGUUUGCUGUGGACAAGAUAUGUGUUCCAGCAUAAUUUGGCAUGAAAUUUUUUUCUUCGGCACUGGUGGAGUCUGAUUACUAGUAAUAUAUUCUUUAUCAAAUCUAUUGUAUUAUAUUGAUUGAUGUGAUUAUUUGUUAAUUUCAAAGAAAGAGGGUUUUGAGAUGUGCUAUCGGCAUAGAAGUUGUUGUAUUGUGCCGAUAUCUUGUGCACGGUGGGCGGAAUCUCUGCCUAUGAGCACUUAAUUUUUUGUUGGCCAAAACCCAUGGAGAACUCUUUUCAUGCGGUUUGUCUUCAGAGAAAAGAUUGUACACUAGGAUAAUUUUAACAUUUGCUUUUUUUUUUUUUUUUUUCUCCCCGGUGCUGUGAUUGGAGAGGUUUCUCACAAAUGAAAGGUUCCUGUUUAUAUUUUAAAUAUCCACUGGGUAUUGUGCAACUGCAGUAUUUAGAGUUUUCUGUAUUUUAGUGAAAAUGUUAAUGAGCUUUUUCCCUCUGGUGGCUUUUUGCUUUUUGUGUUUUUUGUGUGUGAAUGGACUGUUACUAUCCCUGUGGUGAAAUUACCAUUUUAAGAUGUUUCGAGUGUUGCAGCAGUUGAUUUCUAUAGUGGUUCUGCAAAGUGAUGUCGAAAUAGUUGCUAUUCCUGUAAUCCAGAGAUGGCGAGAUGAACGAUUUUGUUUCGACAUCUGUCUCUCUGUUUGAUGAUGUUGUUUAACUGCACCUGAAACACGGACCCUAUUGAAACAGAAAUGGAGCUUGCUAUGCACCAGUUGCAGUGGAAUACAGUUUCGUUCGCGCAAUUGGAUUUUUGAAGGUUAUGGAGUUGGGGUGAUAGCAAAAGGCUAUGUAAAAUGUAGCUUUAAGACUUUUCCGCAAUAGGUUUUGUGAAGGUUGUGGAAUUGGUGUGCUAUCAAAAAGCUGCGGAAAAUGUAGCUUAGACUAUUCUCUCUGCUGGAGAUCAUCAGUUUAUUGCAGUACAUAGACUGGUUGGACCUGAGUAAUGAGUGAAGCUAUUACUGUCCUUUUAGGUUCUGUUUACAUACGAUGUUACUUUGGGUUCACCACUGUUUGUAAACUGUUCAUCCCCUUUCUUUUAUUUUUUAUUUUUUCUGAAGGUAGUACUGUAAUAAUAGGAAAGUUUGGGUGCGUCUUUUUUGUGUGGUUCUAUACGAAUGCGUGAAUGUUUAGGUAGUUGUGGUGCAUAUAUUUAUGUUUUAUUUAUUUGUUUACUUAUUUUUGAUUAUAUAUGUUUUAUUUAUUUGUUUACUUAUUUUUGAUUAUAGGCCCUAAUGACUAUAGUUCACAGAGGGAUCGUUCACUCCGCUAGUUUAUUAAGAUGAUUUCGGGAAUGUUGUACAUUUUAUUUUAUAUUAAGCAUGAUAAGCUUUUUUUUUUUUUUAUCUACUAUAAUUGCUAUCAAUAUAUGAGAAUGACGGUAACUUUUUUAACCCAUCUGUAAAAAGAAAAAAAAGGAGAGGGCUUUGGUAUCCCGACGUAGUGUUCUGUGCAAGUAUGAAUAAAUUGAAGUUCCCUUUA